CCGCGCUGGCCCAGGAGGGCGGGCCGGGCGGCAUGGCCGAGGUGAUAGGCGUCGCGAUCGCCGCCGUCGUCCUGCUCGUCACGUUCGGC
This 89-nucleotide transfer RNA is filed under the name Streptomyces lomondensis. RNAcentral's name for it is "tRNA-Pro". The record is from RNAcentral. Lineage: Bacteria; Bacillati; Actinomycetota; Actinomycetes; Kitasatosporales; Streptomycetaceae.